Molecule: ribosomal RNA, 381 nt
Filed under: uncultured eukaryote
Lineage: Eukaryota
Description: partial 18S ribosomal RNA
Rfam family: Eukaryotic small subunit ribosomal RNA
Source: RNAcentral
CAAUAGCGUAUAUUAAAGCUGUUGCGGUUAAAAAGCUCGUAGUUGGAUUUCUGUCAAGGACAACUGGUCCGCCCUCCGGGUGAGCACAUAGUUUGGUCUUGACAUCUUGCUGGAAGCUGUUGCUGCACUUGGCUGUGUGGCGCAGUGUUCAGCACUUUCACUUUGAGGAAAUUGGAGUGUUUCAAGCAGGCACAUGCCUUUGGACACAGUAGCAUGGAAUAAUUAGAUUGGGCUUUUGCUCCAAUUUGUCGGUUUCUGGAGCUGAGGUGAGUGUUAAUGGGGAUUGUUGGGGGCAUCCGAAUUUAGCCGUCAGAGGUGAAAUUCUUGGAUCUGCUAAAGACGGACAACUGCGAAAGCGUUUGCCCAGGAUGUUUUCAUUGA